UACAAAUACAUCCUGCCGCCUGCCAAAGAGCAGGUCGAUUGUGAUGGAAACACCGGUAUGAACGCUCAUCCAGAAUGCAGCAGCUCAACUGGUCUUUAACCUUCCAAAAUUCUCCCACACUACCCCACUCCUCCACUCUCUUCCCUGGCUACCGGUGGCUGCCCGCAUCCAGUUCGGUGAAUGGAUCGGGUCCAGUCUACGUCCAGGACGUGGCCAAACCCGACAUCCCAACCCGCACACUCCGCUCUGCAUCUGCCAAACUGCUCGUCCCUCCCUCACUGAGAGCAAAACACUCGACUAGAUCACGACUCUUUGCUGUCCUUGCUCCGAAAUGGUGGAACGAGCUCUCUGAAGACACCAGGACCGCAGAGAGCCUUCACAUCUUCCGCCGCAAACUAAAGACACACUUCUUCAGACUCUACCUCGACUAAAAAACACAAAACAAAUUGUAGCACUUGAAUUGUAUUUAUAAUGGCUUCUAGCAGUUGUAAAUCGGCUUAUUUGAUGAAAUUGCACUUUCUUCCUUCUGGGUUUGUAUCCUCAUG
Long non-coding RNA from Gasterosteus aculeatus aculeatus (three-spined stickleback), 545 nucleotides. The record is from Ensembl. Lineage: Eukaryota; Metazoa; Chordata; Actinopteri; Perciformes; Gasterosteidae.